UGAAUACGAGAUGCUACGGCGUCGAAGCAGUCUAUGUCAUACUUCCAAGAAAAGCUCGCACUGUCAUAAACAAAUAAUGCCUGUACCAUAACCGACACAGGUGGGUAGGUAGAGUAUACUAAGGGGCGCGAGAUAACUCUCUCUAAGGAACUCGGCAAAAUGACUCCGUAACUUCGGGAGAAGGAGUGCCUUAUUUAUAAGGUUGCAAUAACAAGAUCCAAGCAACUGUUUAUCAAAAACACAGGUCUCCGCUAAGUCGUAAGACGAUGUAUGGGGGCUGACGCCUGCCCAGUGCCAGAAGGUUAAAGAAGUUGGUUAGCAUUCGCGAAGCUGAUAACUGAAGCCCUGGUGAACGGCGGCCGUAACAAUAACGGUCCUAAGGUAGCGAAAUUCCUUGUCGGGUAAGUUCCGACCCGCACGAAAGGCGUAAUGAUUUGGAUACUGUCUCGGAGAGGGGCUCGGUGAAAUAGACUUGUCUGUGAAGAUGCGGACUACCUGCACCAGGACAGAAAGACCCUAUGAAGCUUUACUGUAACUUGAGAUUGAAAUUGGACUUUACUUGCGCAGUAUAGGUGGGAGGCGUUGAUAAUAUUCUUGCGGGAUUAUUUGAGCCAUCAGUGAGAUACCACUCUUGUAAUGUUAGAUUUCUAACUUUGUAUCAUUAUCUGGUCAAAGGACAGUUUCAGGCGGGCAGUUUGACUGGGGCGGUCGCCUCCUAAACGGUAACGGAGGCGCACAAAGGUUUCCUCUGAACGGGUAGAAAUCGUAUCUAGAGUGUAAAGGCAUAAGGAAGCUUGACUGUGAGACCUACAAGUCGAGCAGGGACGAAAGUCGGUCUUAGUGAUCUGACGGUGCUGAGUGGAAAGGCCGUCACUCAACGGAUAAAAGUUACUCUAAGGAUAACAGGCUGAUCUCCCCCAAGAGUUCACAUCGACGGGGAGGUUUGGCACCUGGAUGUCGGCUCAUCGCAUCCUGGGGCGGUAGUACGUCCCAAGGGUUGGGCUGUUCGCCCAUGAAAGCGGUACGCGAGCUGGGUUCAGAACGUCGUGAGACAGUUCGGUCCAUAUCCGGUGUAGGCGUUAGAAUAUUGAGAGGAGCCUUCUUUAGUACGAGAGGACCGAGAAGGACAUACCUCUGGUGUACCAGUUAUCGUGCCAACGGUAAACGCUGGGUAGCUAUGUAUGGAGUGGAUAACCGCUGAAAGCAUCUAAGUGGGAAGCCCACCUCAAGAUAAGUAUUCAC
Molecule: ribosomal RNA, 1242 nt
Filed under: metagenome
Description: bacterial LSU rRNA
Rfam family: Bacterial large subunit ribosomal RNA
Source: RNAcentral